This is a long non-coding RNA of Pan troglodytes (chimpanzee), 4526 nucleotides long. RefSeq lists it as uncharacterized. NCBI's taxonomy places the organism in Eukaryota, Metazoa, Chordata, Mammalia, Primates, Hominidae. The record is from RefSeq and is a predicted model, not a curated record. The transcript is spliced from 4 exons.
GAGUCUGCUCUGUCACCCAGGCUGGAGUGCAGUGGCACAAUCUCGGCUCACUGCAAGUUCUGCCUCCUGGGUUCACCUCAUUCUCCUGCCUCAGCCUCCCAAGUAGCUGGGACUACAGGUGCCUGCCACCAUACCUGGCUAAUGUUUUGUAUUUUUAGAGAGACGGGGUUUCACCGUGUUAGCCAGGAUGGUCUCGAUCUCCUGACCUCGUGAUCCGCCUGCCUCGGCCUCCCAAAGUGCUGGGAUUACACGCAUAAGCCCCCGCGUCCGGCCUCCUGUUUAAUUUCUAGUUGAGUUUAUUUGAUUCUUCUUUCUUCUUUUCUUGGCUAAUCUCGCUAAUGGUCUAUCAAUUUUAUUUAUCUUUUCAAAUAACCAACUUUUUGUUUUAUUUAUCUUUUGUAUUGUUUAUUUUGUUUCAAUUUCAUUUGGUUCUGCUCUGAUCUUUGCUAUGUCUUUUCUUCUGCUGGGUUUGGGUUUGGUUUGUUCUUGUUUCUCUAGCUCCUUGAGGUGUGACCUUAGAUUGUCUAUUUGCGCUUUUUCAGACUUUUUGAUGUAGGCAUGCAAUGCUAUGAACUUUCCUUUUAGCACUGCUUUUGCUGUAUUUCAGAGGUUUUGAUAGGUUGUGUCACUAUUAUUGUUCAGUCCAAAGAAUUUUUAAAUUUCCAUCCUGAUUUCAUUGUUGACCCAAUGAUCAUUCAGGAGCAGGUUAUUUAAUUUUCAUGUAUUUGCAUGAUUUUGAGGGUUCCUUUUGGAGUUGAUUUCCAAUUUUAUUCCACUGUGGUUUAAGAGAAUACUUGAUAUAAUUUGGGUUUUCUUAAAUUUAUUGAGACUUGUUUUGUGGCCCAUCAUAUGGUCUAUCUUGGAGAAUGUUUCAUGUGGUGGUGAAUACUAUGUAUAUUCUGCAGUUGUUGGGUAGAAUGUUCUGUAAAAUAACUGUUAAGUACAUUUGUUUUAGGGUAUAAUUUAAGUCCAUUUUUUCUUUGUUGACUUUUUUUUUUUUGAGACAGAGUUUCACUCUUGUUGCCCAGGCUGGAGUGCAAUGGCAUAAUCUUGGCUCACUGCAACCUCUGCCUCCUGGGUUCAAGUGAUUCUCCUGCCUCAGCCUCCUGAGUAGCUGGGAUUACAGGCAUGUGCCACAACACCCAGCUAAUUUUGUAGUUUUUUUUUAGUAGAGACGGGGUUUGGUCAGGCUGGUCUUGAACUCCUGACCUCAGGUGAUCCACCCACCUCUGCCUCCCAUAGUGCUGGGAUUACAGGUGUGAGCCACUGAGCCUGGCCUCUUUGUUGACUUUUUGUCUUAAUGACCUGUCUAGUGCUGUCAGUGGAGUGUUGAAGUCCCCCCCUAUUAUUAUGUUGCUGUCUAUCUCAUUUCUUAGGUCUAAUAGUCAUUGUUUUAUAAAUUUGGGAGCUCCAGUGUUAGGUGCAUAUAUAUUUAGGAUAGUGGAAUUUUCCUUUUGGACUAGUCCUUUUAUCAUUAUAUAAUGUCACUCUUUAUCUUUUUUAACCAUUGUUGUUUCAAAGUCUGUUUUGUCUAAUAUAAAAAUAGCUACUCUUGCUUGCUUUUGGUGUCCAUUUGCAUGGAAUAUCUCUUUCCACUCCUUCAGCUUAAGUUUAUGUGAGGCCUUAUGUGUUAGGUGAGUCUCUUGAAGACAGUAGAUACUUGGGUGGUGAAUUCUUAUCCAUUCUGCCAUUCUGUGUCUUUUAAGUGGACCAUUUAGGCCAUUUAUAUUCAAAAGUAGUAUUGAGAUAUGAGGUACUAUUCUAGUCUAUUCAUUGUACUGUUUGUUACCUGAAUACCUUGGGUGUUUUUUUUUUCAUUGUGUUAUUUUCUUAUAGGUUCUGUGAAAUUCAUGCUUUAAAGAGUUUCUAUUUUGGUGUAUUUCAAGGAUUUGUUUCAAGAUUUAGAGUUCCUUUUAGCAGUUCUUGUAGUGCUGGCUUGGUAAUGACGAAUUCUCUCAGCAUUUGUUUGUCUGAAAAAGACUGUAUCUUUCCUUCAUUUAUGAAGCUUAGUUUUGCAGAAUACAAAAUUCUUGGCUGAAAAUUAUUUUGUUUAAGGAGGCUAAAGAUAGGACCCCAAUCCCUUCUUGCUUGUAGCAUUUCUGCUGAGAAAUCUGCUGUUAAUCUGAUAGGUUUUCCUUUAUAGGUUACCUGAUGCUUUUGCCUCACAGCUCUUAAGAUUCUUUUGUUUGUCUUGACUUUAGAUAACCUGAUGACUAUGUGCCUAGAUGAUGAUCUUUUUGCAAUGAAUUUCCCUGGUGUUCUUUGAGCUUCUUGUAUUUGGAUGUCUAGAUCUCUAGCAAGGCCAGGGAAGUUUUCCUUGAUUAUUCCCUGAACUAUGUCUUCCAAACUUUUAGAUUUCUCUUCUUCCUUGGGAACACCACUUGUUCUUAGGUUUGGUCAUUUAAUAUAAUCCCAAACUUCUUCGAGGCUUUGUUCAUUGUUAAAAUUCUUUUUUCUUUGUGUUUGUCAGAUUGGGUUAAUUUGAAAGCCUUAUCUUUGAGCGCUGAAAUUCUUUCUGCUAUUUGUUUGAAUCUAUUGUUUGACACUUUCCAGUGUAUUUUGCAUUUCUCUAAGUAUGUCCUUCAUUUCCAGAAGCUGUGAUUGUUUUUUAUUUAUGCCAUCUAUUUCCCUGGAGAUUUUUCUGUCCAUAUGAUUUAACAUUUUAAAAUUUUCUUUAAGUUGGUAUUCACCUUUCUCUGGUGCCUCCUUGAGUAGCUUAAUAAUUGACCUUCUGAAUUCUUUUUCUGGCAAUUUAAAUAUUUCUUUUUCUUUUAGAUCCAUUGUUGGUGAGCUUAGUGUGAUCCAUUGUUGGUGAGCUUAGUGUGAUCUUUUGGGGGUGUUAAGGAACCUUAUUUUGUCAUACUACCAGAAUUGUUUUAUGGUUUAUUCUCAUUUGGGGAGACUAUGUCAUAGGGAAGACCUGGGGCUCAGGGGCUGCUGUUCAGGUUCUUUUGUCCCACAGGGUGCUCCCUUGAUGUGGUACUCUCCCCCUUCCCCUAGGGAAGGGGUGGGGCUUUCUGAGAGCUGAACUGCAGUGAUUGUUAUUUCUCUUCUGGGUCUAGCCACCCAGCGGAGCUGCUGGGCUCCAAGCUGGUACUGGGGAUUGUCUGCAAAGAGUCCUGUGAUGUGUCUUCAGGUCUCUCAGCUGUGGAUGCUGGCACCUGCUCUGGUGGAGGUAGCAGGGGAGUGAAGUGGACUGUGUGAGGGUCCUUGGUUGUGUUUUUGUUUGGUGUGCUGGUUUUGUGUUGGUUGACCUCUAGCCAGGAGGUGGUGCUUUCAAGAGAGCAUCAGCUGUGGUACUAUAGAGAGGAUACAAGUUUGCCCUAGGGUUGCCUGGAUAAGUAUUCGGGUUUCUCAGGUGAUGGGCAGGGCCAUAGAGCUCCCAAGAGAUUAUGUCCUUUGUCUUCUGCUACCAGGGCAGGUAGAGAAAGACCAUCAGGUGGGGGCAGGGUUAGUUGUAUCUGAGUUCAGACUCUUGUUGGGUGGGGCUUGCUGUGACUGCUGUGGGGGAUAAGGGUGUGGUUCUCAGGCCAAUGGAGUUAUGUUCCCAGGGGGAUUAUGGCUGCCUCUGCCGUGUCAUACAGGUCGCCAGGGAAGUGGGGGAAAGCCGACAGUGACAGGUGUUACCCAGCUCCCACGCAGCUGGAAAGGCUGGUCUCACUGUCAGCAUGCUCCCCCAACAGCAUCAAGUUUAUUUCCAGGCAGCAGGCGAGCAGAGCUGAGAACUUGUCCCAGGCUACAAGCCUCCCUGCUGAGAACAGAAGCAGGGCUUUCAGAUUUUAUGCCUCUCUGCCUGCCACAGCUUCUGUGCUUGUAUCUGCACUCCCUGUUUGACCCCCUCCCCAGAUUCUGUCCAGGAAACUUCAUGUUCGGUAGAAAUUGUUAUAAAAUUCAACUGGAAGUUUUCCUCUCCCUCUGGUUUUUCCUCAAUUCCACUGGCAGCCCUCCCCAAGGUGCAAGAUAAAGACAGAAAAGGCUUCCCUGAGGACUGAGAGUGCCCACAGGGCUCUUGCUGCUGCUUUCUCUACCCCUAUAUUUUGUGCGGCUCUCAGCAUUUGUCUCAGCUCCAGGUUUGGUCAAAUCCUUCUCUUAUGAUCUGGACCUUCAGGUUUCCCAGUGAAGGGAAUGACAGAAUCUGGGAUGAUUUUCUUCUGUUUCUUAUCUAAAAAACAACAAAAAGCUCAGCAUACACUGACUCACACAAACCUUUUGCUAGAGGCAGCUCUGUAGACUUAAGACGCUGUCAUUUUUCAGAAGAACCCAGCUUGCUUUGGAACUACAGUCAGCCCUGCAACUCACCCUCACCUUGGACCCUGCUGCUGCUGUCUGUAAAGACAAUGCUGCGAUGAAUACACCUGUGCAUUCUUUUUUAGAACGAGUGUAAGGAUUCCUAUGUGUUCAUCUCAACCUUCCUUUACUGCAUAUAAUUUGUGCUUGUUUGAUUUUUCCUUUGGACCGGUGAAAACAUCUGUCUGGUUCCCUCAUCAUAUGAGUCAAAUAAAAUCUUUAACAUGUGUUCAUUUUUA